RNAcentral lists this ribosomal RNA (496 nucleotides) under uncultured bacterium. RNAcentral's name for it is "partial 16S ribosomal RNA". It matches the Rfam family "Bacterial small subunit ribosomal RNA", at positions 28 to 506 of the family's 1533-position model. The record is from RNAcentral.
GAUGAACGCUGGCGGCGUGCCUAAUACAUGCAAGUCGAGCGAACGGACGAGAAGCUUGCUCCUCUGAUGUUAGCGGCGGACGGGUGAGUAACACGUGGAUAACCUACCUAUAAGACUGGGAUAACUUCGGGAAACCGGAGCUAAUACCGGAUAAUAUUUUGAACCGCAUGGUUCAAUAGUGAAAGACGGUUUUGCUGUCACUUAUAGAUGGAUCCGCGCGGCAUUAGCUAGUUGGUAAGGUAACGGCUUACCAAGGCAACGAUGCAUAGCCGACCUGAGAGGGGAAUCGCCCACACUGGACCUAGGACACGUUCCAGCCCCCUACGGAGGGCAGCGGAGGGGAUUCUUCCGCAUGGGCCGAAGGCCUGACGGGGCAACGCGGCGGGGGUGAUGAAGGUCUUCGGUUGGUAAACCCCUGUUAUUGGGGAAGAAAAUAUUUGUAGUUACCUGGGCCCAUCUGGCGGGUACCAAACCAGAAGGCCCCGGCUACCUCCGU